Molecule: long non-coding RNA, 2111 nt
Filed under: Homo sapiens (human)
Lineage: Eukaryota; Metazoa; Chordata; Mammalia; Primates; Hominidae
Description: HSALNT0171608
Source: RNAcentral
ACUUGCUGCACCAGCUGCUUGGAGUGCUGUCAGUCACAGCCUUCAGCUGCCAGCCCCUUUAGAGAUUGCAGAGAGCUGCCUUUCCCAGUGUUUUACUCCUUCCUGGGCUGGCCCACAUCCAGUGACUCACUGAUGCAGGAGUGUAAAGUCUUGGCCAUCUAGACCCAACUUGGGACAACUUUAAAGGGCCAUUGUGCUCCCGAGUCUCACUGAGGUUGGGUCUGCAUUGCAGCUUGACUUUCCCCUCUAUAUAUUCCUGUUUUCUUCCUUUGCCUCUCUUCCAUGGGUGUUGAUUCUAAGGAUACUCCUUAAUAAACAUCCUGUUUGGUAAACUCCAUCGCAGCAUCUACUUUCCAGUGAAUGCAACCUGCAACACCACAGGCACUUACACAUGGAGAAAGACUUAUUAAAAGGAAUUGGCUUAUAUGUUUAUGGAGGCUGGGAAGUUCCAAGAUCUGCAGUUGCUGAGACCCAGGAGAGCCAGUGGUGCAAGAUCCAGUUUGAAAGCUUGCAGCCUUGAAAGCCAAGAAGAAUGAGUGUUUUAGGUACAGUCUGCAGGCAGGAAAAGCCUGAUGUCUCAGCUCAAGCAGUCAAGCAGGAGGAGUACCUUCUUAGCCAUUUUGUUCUAUUCAGAUCUUCAAUUGAUUGGAUGAGGCCCAUCCACAUUAGGAAAGACAAUCUGCUGUACUUCAAUAGACAAUUUGAAUUGUUUAUCAAUUCAAAUAUCUACUCCAAUGUAUACAUUUGAAUUGGUAUCCAAUUUUAACCAAUUCAAAUAUAUACUCCAAUACACAAUUUGAAUUGUUUACCAACUUGAAUUGUUUAUCAAUUAAAAUGUAUGUACCAAUGUAUAUGCCAGUGUAUAUAUUUGUAGACAUUGUAUAUAUUCAAUGUAUACAUUUGGAUUGUUAAACAUUAGAUACAUUAGAUACCAAUCCAAAUGUAUACUCCAAUACACAAUUUGAAUUGUUUACCAAUUCAAAUGUUAAUUUCAUCCAGAAAUGCACAAACUCAGAAUAAUAUUUGACUAAAUAUCUUGGCAUCCUGUGGCCCAGUGAAGUUGGCACAUAAAAUUAAUCAUCACGGGAUUAAUCACCACAGGCCCUUUGUAGCUAUAUCUCCCAGUGUUUGUUCUACUUUUGGAAAAUAAAAUUUCAAGAAGAAUCCAGGUCCUUCUAGACUGCUUUCAGCCAGAGGUUCCUACAGAUAUCCAGUUAAUUCUUAUUCUCCUUCAUACAAUAAAUAUCCUGUCCCUGCCAGGUUCAUAAUUUGAAUCAGGUAUGCACAUUAUUCAAUCAUUUAUUCCACAAGCAAAUAUUUUGUCUUGAUCACCUAUUAUGUAGCAGGUAUUUUGCCAGGAAUCAUCCACUUCUUUCAUCUUGCUCAGGGGGCUACAAACACCCAUAUUCCUCUCUAUUACUCUCUUCUGCCAGCUCUGUCCACACUCUCUGAGGAGAGGGUCCAUGCUCAGUCUCUGGGUUUCCUUGCAGGCACUUUUCUUCUUCAUAUUCAAGCAGUAUUUUUCUUCUUGUUGGAUUUUUAAUCUUAUUUAUUUAUUUAUUUAUUAUUUUGCACUUACUUAUGGCUUGUAACUCAUAGGCAAAGCUAGUCAUUUAUUCACAGUAAGAAAAAUACAGGUAGGAAAUGACACCACAACCUGGCAAUGGGUUCACCCACUUGGACAGGGCAAACAGACACUGAGUGACCCUCUUGGCUAACAGUGGUUGUCAAGCCACGUCCACAAUCUCAGUGUUGGAGAACUACUGAGUGUUGGGCAGAAAGAUGGUACUGAAGUUGCUGCUGAAACAACAGGAGGUCGAGUGCAGUGAUGGGGAAUCCAUUGUGGGAAAAACUCUGAAGGACCAGAGACAGGCUGCUGGCACCCAAAAUAUUUUUGCUUAAUUGGCUGGACUGAAGUUCAGGGACAAGACAACAGUUUUUGGAAAGAGAAUUGGCAAGAACAAGGCCUGACUUUGGUGGUUAAGAGUGCAGACUUUGGAGCCAGGAUGUCUGGUUUCAGACUCACUUCAGAGCCAAAAAAUAUUGGGAAAACUAUUUAAUCUCUUUUUAUCCUGAUUUCUUUCAUAUGCAAAGUGAAAAAAACUAAAAGU